AUACGGAGGAUGCAAGCGUUAUCCGGAUUUAUUGGGUUUAAAGGGUGCGCAGGCGGCGCGAUAAGUCAGCGGUGAAAUGUACCGGCUCAACCGGUGAGCUGCCGUUGAUACUGUCGUGCUUGAGUGCGAGCGGCGCCGGCGGAAUGAGUGAUGUAGCGGUGAAAUGCAUAGAUAUCACACAGAACACCGAUCGCGAAGGCAGCUGGCGAGGACGUUACUGACGCUGAGGCACGAAAGCGUGGGGAUCAAACAGGAUUAGAUACCCUGGUAGUCCACGCAGUAAACGAUGAUGACUUGUUGUCGGCGACAGACAGUCGGUGACAAAGCGAAAGCGAUAAGUCAUCCACCUGGGGAGUACGAUCGCAAGGUUGAAACUCAAAUGAAUUGACGGGG
Molecule: ribosomal RNA, 393 nt
Filed under: uncultured bacterium
Lineage: Bacteria
Description: partial 16S ribosomal RNA
Rfam family: Bacterial small subunit ribosomal RNA
Source: RNAcentral